CCUACGGGUGGCAGCAGUUAGGAAUCUUGGGCAAUGGGGGAAACCCUGACCCAGCCAUGCCGCGUGUGUGAAGAAGGCCUUCGGGUUGUAAAGCACUUUCAAGGGUAAAGAAAAGCCUGGGGCGAAUACCCUCGGGUCUUGACGUUAGCCCUAGAAGAAGCACCGGCUAACUCCGUGCCAGCAGCCGCGGUAAUACGGAGGGUGCGAACGUUAAUCGGAAUUACUGGGCGUAAAGCGCACGUAGGCGGUUCGUUAAGUGGGAUGUGAAAUCCCCGGGCUCAACCUGGGAACUGCAUUUCAGACUGGCGAACUGGAGUCUGGUAGAGGGGGGUGGAAUUUCCUGUGUAGCGGUGAAAUGCGUAGAUAUAGGAAGGAACAUCAGUGGCGAAGGCGGCCCCCUGGACCAAGACUGACGCUGAGGUGCGAAAGCGUGGGGAGCAAACAGGAUUAGAUACCCCUGUAGUC
This 465-nucleotide ribosomal RNA is filed under the name uncultured Gammaproteobacteria bacterium. Its description in RNAcentral is "bacterial SSU rRNA". It matches the Rfam family "Bacterial small subunit ribosomal RNA", at positions 338 to 795 of the family's 1533-position model. The record is from RNAcentral. Lineage: Bacteria; Pseudomonadati; Pseudomonadota; Gammaproteobacteria.